CCCUUAGAUGUCCGGGGCCGCACGCGCGCUACACUGAAGGAAUCAGCGUGGCUUUCUCCCUGACCCGAAAGGGUUGGGAAACCCGUUGAAUCUCCUUCGUGAUAGGGAUUGGGGCUUGAAAUUGUUCCCCAUGAACGAGGAAUUCCCAGUAAGUGCGAGUCAUAAGCUCGCGUUGAUUACGUCCCUGCCCUUUGUACACACCGCCCGUCGCUACUACCGAUUGAACGGUUUAGUGAGGGCCUCGGAUUGGUCUCGGCCCGCUCUUUACCGGGCGGCGCCGUUGGUCGAGAAGACGCUCGAACUUGAUCGUUUAGAGGAAGUAAAAGUCGUAACA
This 334-nucleotide ribosomal RNA is filed under the name uncultured eukaryote. Its description in RNAcentral is "partial 18S ribosomal RNA". It matches the Rfam family "Eukaryotic small subunit ribosomal RNA", at positions 1470 to 1796 of the family's 1831-position model. The record is from RNAcentral.